GAGUAACGCGUAGGUAACCUGCCUGGUAGCGGGGGAUAACUAUUGGAAACGAUAGCUAAUACCGCAUAAGAGUAGAUGUUGCAUGACAUUUGCUUAAAAGGUGCAAUUGCAUCACUACCAGAUGGACCUGCGUUGUAUUAGCUAGUUGGUGAGGUAACGGCUCACCAAGGCAACGAUACAUAGCCGACCUGAGAGGGUGAUCGGCCACACUGGGACUGAGACACGGCCCAGACUCCUACGGGAGGCAGCAGUAGGGAAUCUUCGGCAAUGGACGGAAGUCUGACCGAGCAACGCCGCGUGAGUGAAGAAGGUUUUCGGAUCGUAAAGCUCUGUUGUAAGAGAAGAACGAGUGUGAGAGUGGAAAGUUCACACUGUGA
RNAcentral lists this ribosomal RNA (377 nucleotides) under Streptococcus sp. oral taxon C08. RNAcentral's name for it is "bacterial SSU rRNA". It matches the Rfam family "Bacterial small subunit ribosomal RNA", at positions 108 to 472 of the family's 1533-position model. Lineage: Bacteria; Bacillati; Bacillota; Bacilli; Lactobacillales; Streptococcaceae. The record is from RNAcentral.